Molecule: long non-coding RNA, 430 nt
Filed under: Homo sapiens (human)
Lineage: Eukaryota; Metazoa; Chordata; Mammalia; Primates; Hominidae
Description: non-protein coding lnc-TIGD3-4:1
Source: RNAcentral
AGACUCUGUCUUAAAAAAAAAAAAAAUGCCGGGUGCGGUGGCUCACGCCUGUAAUCCCAACACUUUGGGAGGCCGAGGCGGGCAGAUCACCUGAGGUCAGGAGUUCAAGACCAGCCUCAACGUGGAGAAACCCCGUCUCUACUAAAAAUACAAAAUUAUCUGGGCAAGGUGGUGCAUGCCUGUAAUCCCAGCUACUCGGGAGGCUGAGGCAGGAGAAUUGCUUGAACUUGGCAGAUGGAGGUUGCAGUGAGCCGAGAUCAAGCCAUUGCACUCUAGCCUGGGCAACAAGAGCGAAACUCCGUCUCAAAAAAGAAAAAAAAGGACUGAGCGCUCCAACUGCAGCUUAUCUGAUGGCCGGUCCACAGCCCACAGAGUACCCGCUGCCUGAGGCGGGGAACCAACUGUGGGUAUGCCAGGGCCUCUCCUCCUU